Molecule: ribosomal RNA, 563 nt
Filed under: uncultured Bacteroidota bacterium
Lineage: Bacteria; Pseudomonadati; Bacteroidota
Description: bacterial SSU rRNA
Rfam family: Bacterial small subunit ribosomal RNA
Source: RNAcentral
CGAGGGGUAUAGGCUUUCGGGCCUAGAGACCGGCGCACGGGUGCGUAACGCGUAUGCAAUCUACCUUUCACAGAGGGAUAGCCCAGAGAAAUUUGGAUUAAUACCUCAUGGUAUAUAGGAGUGGCAUCACUUUUAUAUUAAAGUCACAACGGUGAAAGAUGAGCAUGCGUCCCAUUAGCUAGUUGGUAAGGUAACGGCUUACCAAGGCGACGAUGGGUAGGGGUCCUGAGAGGGAGAUCCCCCACACUGGUACUGAGACACGGACCAGACUCCUACGGGAGGCAGCAGUGAGGAAUAUUGGUCAAUGGGCGCAAGCCUGAACCAGCCAUGCCGCGUGCAGGAUGAAGCAUCUAUGGUGUGUAAACUGCUUUUGUACGGGAAGAAACAGAGGUUCGUGAACCUCCUUGACGGUACCGUAAGAAUAAGGAUCGGCUAACUCCGUGCCAGCAGCCGCGGUAAUACGGAGGAUCCAAGCGUUAUCCGGAAUCAUUGGGUUUAAAGGGUCCGCAGGCGGUUUAGUAAGUCAGUGGUGAAAGCCCAUCGCUCAACGGUGGAACGGCCAU